Molecule: ribosomal RNA, 253 nt
Filed under: uncultured bacterium
Lineage: Bacteria
Description: partial 16S ribosomal RNA
Rfam family: Bacterial small subunit ribosomal RNA
Source: RNAcentral
UACGAGGGGGGCUAGCGUUGCUCGGAAUCACUGGGCGUAAAGCGCACGUAGGCGGCUUCUUAAGUCAGGGGUGAAAUCCUGGAGCUCAACUCCAGAACUGCCUUUGAUACUGAGAAGCUUGAGUCCGGGAGAGGUGAGUGGAACUGCGAGUGUAGAGGUGAAAUUCGUAGAUAUUCGCAAGAACACCAGUGGCGAAGGCGGCUCACUGGCCCGGUACUGACGCUGAGGUGCGAAAGCGUGGGGAGCAAACAGG